GGGGAUUUAGCUCAGUGGUAGAGCGCUUGCCUAGGAAGCGCAAGGUUCUGGGUUCAGUCCUCA
Molecule: transfer RNA, 63 nt
Filed under: Rattus norvegicus (Norway rat)
Lineage: Eukaryota; Metazoa; Chordata; Mammalia; Rodentia; Muridae
Rfam family: tRNA
About the family: Transfer RNA (tRNA) molecules are approximately 80 nucleotides in length. Their secondary structure includes four short double-helical elements and three loops (D, anti-codon, and T loops). Further hydrogen bonds mediate the characteristic L-shaped molecular structure. tRNAs have two regions of fundamental functional importance: the anti-codon, which is responsible for specific mRNA codon recognition, and the 3' end, to which the tRNAs corresponding amino acid is attached (by aminoacyl-tRNA synthetases). tRNAs cope with the degeneracy of the genetic code in two manners: having more than one tRNA (with a specific anti-codon) for a particular amino acid; and 'wobble' base-pairing, i.e. permitting non-standard base-pairing at the 3rd anti-codon position.
Source: Rfam by way of RNAcentral